RNAcentral lists this ribosomal RNA (253 nucleotides) under uncultured bacterium. Its description in RNAcentral is "partial 16S ribosomal RNA". It matches the Rfam family "Bacterial small subunit ribosomal RNA", at positions 524 to 776 of the family's 1533-position model. The record is from RNAcentral.
AACGUAGGUGGCAAGCGUUAUCCGGAAUUACUGGGCGUAAAGGGUGUGCAGGCGGGGAAGCAAGUGGGGUGUGAAAUAUCCCAGCUUAACUGGGAGGGGUUAUGCCAGACUGCUUUUCUAGAGGACGAGAGAGGGGGGUGGAAUUCCGGGUGUAGUGGUGAAAUGCGUAGAGAUCCGGAGGAACCCCAGAGGCGAAGGCGGCCCCCUGGCUCGUACCUGACGCUCAGCCACGAAAGCAUGGGGAGCGAACGGG